ACAGCAGUAGCCGCGGGAAUACGUAGGUGGCAAGCGUUGUCCGGAAUUAUUGGGCGUAAAGGGCUCGCAGGCGGUUUCUUAAGUCUGAUGUGAAAGCCCCCGGCUCAACCGGGGAGGGUCAUUGGAAACUGGGAAACUUGAGUGCAGAAGAGGAGAGUGGAAUUCCACGUGUAGCGGUGAAAUGCGUAGAGAUGUGGAGGAACACCAGUGGCGAGGGCGACUCUCUGGUCUGUAACUGACGCUGAGGAGCGAAAGCGUGGGGAGCGAACAGGAUUAGAUACCCCGGUAGUCCCUGUCUCUUAUAC
Molecule: ribosomal RNA, 305 nt
Filed under: uncultured bacterium
Lineage: Bacteria
Description: partial 16S ribosomal RNA
Rfam family: Bacterial small subunit ribosomal RNA
Source: RNAcentral